AAGUCGUAACAAGGUUUCCGUAGGUGAACCUGCGGAAGGAUCUCCCGUGAACCUUCAUCCUGCUCUUGUAACCCGCGGCAAUGUUUCCCCAAGCGGUCAGUGUCGGAAAGUGUCAUUGAUUGUGCAAGGAUAGCGCUUCUACGAUUCCUGUCGACCGUCCACUCGGGCAGGAGCUUUGCCAAAGGGUCCCCAUGCCCCCUAAUAACCCCACAGUUUAAUGUGAAGCUCAAUGUAUACAUUGGGUAAAAAAACCGAACAACUGUUAACAAUGGAUAUCUUGGUUCUC
Molecule: unclassified non-coding RNA, 286 nt
Filed under: fungal sp.
Lineage: Eukaryota; Fungi
Description: partial internal transcribed spacer region
Rfam family: Eukaryotic small subunit ribosomal RNA (bases 1-46)
Source: RNAcentral